AUACCUGGCAGGAGAGAUACCAUGAUCACAAAGGUGGUUUUCCUAGAGUGAGGCUUAUCUAUUGUGCUCCAGAUGUGCUGACCCCUGCGAUUUCCCCAAAUGUGGAAAACUUGACUGCAUAAUUUGUGGUAGUGGGGGACUGUGUUUGCACUCUCCCCUG
RNAcentral lists this small nuclear RNA (160 nucleotides) under Carlito syrichta (Philippine tarsier). RNAcentral describes it as "U1 spliceosomal RNA (ENSTSYG00000030514.1)". It matches the Rfam family "U1 spliceosomal RNA". From Rfam's summary of the family: U1 is a small nuclear RNA (snRNA) component of the spliceosome (involved in pre-mRNA splicing). Its 5' end forms complementary base pairs with the 5' splice junction, thus defining the 5' donor site of an intron. The record is from Rfam by way of RNAcentral. Lineage: Eukaryota; Metazoa; Chordata; Mammalia; Primates; Tarsiidae.